RNAcentral lists this ribosomal RNA (335 nucleotides) under uncultured bacterium. Its description in RNAcentral is "partial 16S ribosomal RNA". It matches the Rfam family "Bacterial small subunit ribosomal RNA", at positions 338 to 689 of the family's 1533-position model. The record is from RNAcentral.
CCUACGGGGGGCAGCAGUGGGGAAUAUUGCACAAGGGGGGGAACCCUGAUGCAGCGACGCCGCGUGAGUGAAGAAGUAUUUCGGUAUGUAAAGCUCGGUCAGCAGGGAAGAAGAAAGACGGUACCGGACCAAGAAGCCCCGGCUAACUACGUGCCAGCAGCCGCGGUAAUACGGAGGGGGCAUGCGUGAUCCGGAUUUACGGGGUGGAAAGGGAGCGUAUACGGCAGGGCCAGUCGGGAGUGAAAGGCAGGGGCCCAACCCCUUGACUGCUCUGGAAACUUUCCGGCUGGAGUGCAGGAGAUGUAAGUUGACUUCCUCUUGUAGCGGUUACAUGC